GACGAACGCUGGCGGCGUGCCUAAUACAUGCAAGUAGAACGCUGAAGAGAGGAGCUUACUCUUCUUGGAUGAGUUGCGAACGGGUGAGUAACGCGUAGGUAACCUGCCUUGUAGCGGGGGAUAACUAUUGGAAACGAUAGCUAAUACCGCAUAACAAUGGAUGACACUUGUCAUUUAUUUGAAAGGGGCAAUUGCUCCACUACAAGAUGGACCUGCGUUGUAUUAGCUAGUAGGUGAGGUAAUGGCUCACCUAGGCGACGAUACAUAGCCGACCUGAGAGGGUGAUCGGCCACACUGGGACUGAGACACGGCCCAGACUCCUACGGGAGGCAGCAGUAGGGAAUCUUCGGGAAUGGGGGCAACCCUGACCGAGCAACGCCGCGUGAGUGAAGAAGGGUUUCGGAUCGUAAAGCUCUGUUGUAAGUCAAGAACGGGUGUGAGAGUGGAAAGUUCACACUGUGACGGUAGCUUACCAGAAAGGGACGGCUAACUACGUG
This 497-nucleotide ribosomal RNA is filed under the name uncultured bacterium. Its description in RNAcentral is "partial 16S ribosomal RNA". It matches the Rfam family "Bacterial small subunit ribosomal RNA", at positions 28 to 507 of the family's 1533-position model. The record is from RNAcentral.